Long non-coding RNA from Macadamia integrifolia, 1013 nucleotides. RefSeq lists it as uncharacterized. The transcript is spliced from 2 exons. Lineage: Eukaryota; Viridiplantae; Streptophyta; Magnoliopsida; Proteales; Proteaceae. The record is from RefSeq and is a predicted model, not a curated record.
GUUAGUUGCCAUUAAUUUUUGAUUUUUUUUCUUUAUAUUGGACAUGUAAAUGAUGAAGAAGUUCAAUUUUAGUUUUGAAGAAUAGAAAUUUGAUUAAGAGUUUUGGUAUGAAAAUCAUGGUUGCCGAUUCCCCCUUCUUCUUCCUCUAAAAUUUUCCAAUUUCUUCUCUUUUUCUCUUUUCUCUCUUUUCAUUCUCCUUCUUUUUAUUACUCUUUUAUUUCCUUUGGUCACUGUUUUCCUGUCUCUGCUGGGCGGUAAAACCAUCAGACAAAAGGGAGCUUGCUGACCCCUGUUUUGUGAUCGAUUGAGUCAGAGGUUUGGGACGAAGGAAGCUGCCACGGAGGCGACUCAAAUCGAGUAACGUUAACCCCAAAGCUUUGAUCCUGUUGUGUGAAUCGAUCGAUUGCAGAUCUGGUCUCUGUUUAUCGCCUGAAGAAAACUCAGGAUUGGAAUAUUAGGUCUAAGUUCUUUGCUUGACAUCUGUGAGGGACAGAACCGACAGAGCUGGUGAUGUAUUGAACCUGCAUGUGAUCUUCCAUGUACCUGGACCUUGUUUGAAGAGCUGGGUCGAGUUGAAGAUGACUGGCUGCCGUUGGUAUUGAGUUCCAUCGUGGCCUAAUGUUGAAGAAGACCUCAUAAAUUAGGGUUGCAUAGCACCUACUGGAACAAGGGAUAGUACUUUGGAGAUCCUUGUGGGAGACAAUGGCUGGGUUGAUCAUCGUGAAAAUGGAAUUAUCUAUUCUUUUGAUGCAACGAAAUGCAUGUUCUCCUGGGGAAAUCUUUCUGAGAAGCUUCGCAUGGCCUGCCUGGAUUGUAGAGAUAAAGUAGUUGUUGAUUUGUUUGCUGGAAUUGGGUAUUUUGUAUUGCCAUUUCUUGUGGGGUAUGUAUUGCAGUUCUUUAUUUGGUUUGAUUUUUCCUGAACUGUGGAGGACCUUUUGUUUUUAAUUGUAUGCUGGUGUCUUGUCAAUAGUAACAAUAGCAUAAUGAAUGCCAUCGUUUUGAAGAGAUCUACG